RNAcentral lists this ribosomal RNA (520 nucleotides) under uncultured Glomus. RNAcentral describes it as "SSU rRNA". It matches the Rfam family "Eukaryotic small subunit ribosomal RNA", at positions 569 to 1089 of the family's 1831-position model. Lineage: Eukaryota; Fungi; Glomeromycota; Glomeromycetes; Glomerales; Glomeraceae. The record is from RNAcentral.
AGCAGCCGCGGUAAUUCCAGCUCCAAUAGCGUAUAUUAAAGUUGUUGCAGUUAAAAAGCUCGUAGUUGAAUUUCGGGAUCAAAGAAUCGGUCAUGCCUUGGUAUGUACUGGUUUUAUUGGUUCUCACCUUCUAAAGAACCAUGAUGUCAUUCAUUUGAUGUUAUGGGGAAUUAGGACUGUUACCUUGAAAAAUUAGAGUGUUUAAAGCAAGCUUACGCUUGAAUACAUUAGCAUGGAAUAAUGAAAUAGGACAUCAGAUUCUAUUUUGUUGGUUUCUAGGAUCGAUGUAAUGAUUAAUAGGGAUAGUUGGGGGGCAUUAGUAUUCAAUUGUCAGAGGUGAAAUUCUUGGAUUUAUUGAAGACUAACUACUGCGAAAGCAUUUUGCCAAGGAUGUUUUCAUUAAUCAAGAACGAAAGUUAGGGGAUCGAAGACGAUCAGAUACCGUCGUAGUCUUAACCAUAAACUAUGCCGACUAGGGAUCGGAUGAUGUUAAUUUUUUCAAUGACUCAUUCGGCACCUU